This 86-nucleotide transfer RNA is filed under the name Rhodanobacter sp. Its description in RNAcentral is "tRNA-Leu". It matches the Rfam family "tRNA". From Rfam's summary of the family: Transfer RNA (tRNA) molecules are approximately 80 nucleotides in length. Their secondary structure includes four short double-helical elements and three loops (D, anti-codon, and T loops). Further hydrogen bonds mediate the characteristic L-shaped molecular structure. tRNAs have two regions of fundamental functional importance: the anti-codon, which is responsible for specific mRNA codon recognition, and the 3' end, to which the tRNAs corresponding amino acid is attached (by aminoacyl-tRNA synthetases). tRNAs cope with the degeneracy of the genetic code in two manners: having more than one tRNA (with a specific anti-codon) for a particular amino acid; and 'wobble' base-pairing, i.e. permitting non-standard base-pairing at the 3rd anti-codon position. RNAcentral also lists the same sequence under 3 other names. Lineage: Bacteria; Pseudomonadati; Pseudomonadota; Gammaproteobacteria; Lysobacterales; Rhodanobacteraceae. The record is from RNAcentral.
GCCGGUGUGGCGGAAUGGUAGACGCGGCGGACUCAAAAUCCGCUACUGGCGACAGUGUGUAGGUUCGAGUCCUAUCACCGGUACCA